ACUCAAAGGAAUAGACGGGCACCCGCACAAGCGGUGGAGCAUGCUGUUUAAUUCGAAAAUACGCGAAGAACCUUACCCAGGUUUGUAUCCCCGGCAAUGCUAUGGAAACAUAGCGGAGGUUAUCCGGGUGACAGAUGGUGCAUGGUUGUCGUCAGCUCGUGUCGUGAGAUGUUUGGUUAAGUCCAAUAACGAGCGCAACCCUCGUCUUUAGUUGCCUAUUUUAGGAUCUCUAAAGAUACUGCCAGUGUAAGCUGGAGGAAGGUGGGGAUGACGUCAAAUCAUCAUGCCUCUUACAUCUGGGGCUACAGGCGUGCUACAAUGGCCGGUACAACGAGUCGCAACACGGUAACGUGAAGCUAAUCUCUUAAAGCCGGUCCCAGUCCGGAUUGAGGUCUGCAACUCGACCUCAUGAAGUUGGAAUCGCUAGUAAUCCUGAAUCAGAAUGUCAGGGUGAAUACGUUCUCGGGUGUUGCACACACCGCCCGU
RNAcentral lists this ribosomal RNA (486 nucleotides) under uncultured bacterium. Its description in RNAcentral is "bacterial SSU rRNA". It matches the Rfam family "Bacterial small subunit ribosomal RNA", at positions 899 to 1397 of the family's 1533-position model. The record is from RNAcentral.